GACGAACGCUGGCGGCGUGCUUAACACAUGCAAGUCGAACGGUGAACGCGUGAGCUUGCUCCCUCCGCAACAGGCGAGCACGUGUGUGUAACACGUGUGCACUCCCCUCCACACUCUGGUAUAUUCAGGAGAAACGACGUCUAAUACCGGAUACGACCCUGCAGGGCAGUCUCUCCGGGUGGAUAGCACGUCGGUUGGGGAUGGGCUCGCGGCCUAUCAGCUUGUUGGUGGGGUAGCGGCUCACCAAGGCGGCGACGGGUAGCCGGCCUGAGAGGGUGACCGGCCACAUUGGGACUGAGAUACGGCCCAGACUCCUACGGGAGGCAGCAGUGGGGAAUAUUGCACAAUGGGCGGAAGCCUGAUGCAGCAACGCCGCGUGCGGGAUGACGGCCUUCGGGUUGUAAACCGCUUUUGGCUGGGAAGAAGCGAGAGUGACGGUAACUGGAGAAGAAGCACCGGCUAACUACGUG
RNAcentral lists this ribosomal RNA (470 nucleotides) under uncultured bacterium. RNAcentral describes it as "partial 16S ribosomal RNA". It matches the Rfam family "Bacterial small subunit ribosomal RNA", at positions 28 to 507 of the family's 1533-position model. The record is from RNAcentral.